CAAGUGCGCUUUUUCGUUGUGUCCACAUGUCCUUCUACUGUGCUGGUUUUACCGCGUCGAUAUAAGAACCAGCGUUGAAAACCCUAGGCUCUCGUUUCCCCCAAUCCCACCGCCGCACGCUGUCUCUCCCAUGUUCAUCCUCCCACUUAUCCACCUCCACGUCCUUCUCCUCCUCUCCUUGCGUCGUCGGUCUGGAAGCUGGUAGCCGACGCCGCCGCUCGCCAUUUCCCGCGCCUCCGGAUCUGAGCUCGCGCGCGGUGGCGCGACUGGUGGAUGAAAGCUGGGUCCUGAGCAGAACACAACGCCGUCCCGCUCCCUGCUGCCGUUGGAGAGGCGGGGAUGGCUCCUCGGCUUCGAAGGUCAUAGCCUGACGGCGCCUACCCUCCUGUUUCGGCCUGGGGCGUUGGGGAGUCAUGGCCGACAGCGACCUCAAGUUCUUUGCCUGACGCCGCUGGCCAAGAUACUGCUGCAACUUCAAGACAGCAAGGGGCAUCAGGCUUCACGGCUACACAUUCAUCUUUGAUUUUCUCCCCAAAUCUGAAAUUGUUUGACCCCUAAAUUUUAAUCCCCUUGAGUAAGCGAGAGUAUUCAUGGAAUAUGGUCUAUUGAUGAUGACAAAUUUGAUUGCAGCAGGGACUGGCAAAGUAA
Molecule: long non-coding RNA, 648 nt
Organism: Triticum aestivum (bread wheat)
Lineage: Eukaryota; Viridiplantae; Streptophyta; Magnoliopsida; Poales; Poaceae
Exons: 2
Source: RefSeq, a predicted model, not a curated record